This 341-nucleotide long non-coding RNA is filed under the name Monodelphis domestica (gray short-tailed opossum). Its description in RNAcentral is "lncRNA (ENSMODG00000039963.1)". Lineage: Eukaryota; Metazoa; Chordata; Mammalia; Didelphimorphia; Didelphidae. The record is from RNAcentral.
AAAAAAACCCAAGGAACUUUGAAGAGACUAAAGGCUAUAUUCUAAGGCAUUUCAGACUCCAAUAGUUUAUAAACAUCUCUGUAUUCUAUUGCAUUGUUUUGUUUAAGAUAUAACUUUGUGAUUUUAAAUUCAUAUAUUACUGGAUUGAAUAUUAUUCUGUGAACUGAAGGUUGAUUGAAUUUAUUUAGAAUGUACUGAGUUUUAGGUGUCUAUUAGGUGUACUGAGUUUUAAAAUUCUGUUGUUUUUCCCCUAUAACUGUGUUGAUACCUACAUAUUUGUACUACUGUAUUUUUAAAGAUGAAAAAAUUGUUAACCUUGUUCAAUUCAUUUGCCUUCUACU